UGGCACAGUUGGUAGAGCAUGGUGUUUGCAACGCCAGGGUUGUGGGUUUGUUUCCCAC
RNAcentral lists this transfer RNA (58 nucleotides) under Salmo salar (Atlantic salmon). It matches the Rfam family "tRNA", at positions 8 to 63 of the family's 71-position model. From Rfam's summary of the family: Transfer RNA (tRNA) molecules are approximately 80 nucleotides in length. Their secondary structure includes four short double-helical elements and three loops (D, anti-codon, and T loops). Further hydrogen bonds mediate the characteristic L-shaped molecular structure. tRNAs have two regions of fundamental functional importance: the anti-codon, which is responsible for specific mRNA codon recognition, and the 3' end, to which the tRNAs corresponding amino acid is attached (by aminoacyl-tRNA synthetases). tRNAs cope with the degeneracy of the genetic code in two manners: having more than one tRNA (with a specific anti-codon) for a particular amino acid; and 'wobble' base-pairing, i.e. permitting non-standard base-pairing at the 3rd anti-codon position. The record is from Rfam by way of RNAcentral. Lineage: Eukaryota; Metazoa; Chordata; Actinopteri; Salmoniformes; Salmonidae.